AUAUUGUAUUAUGCUGGGAGGGCAUAUCCGCCGAAUUUAAGCAUAUAAUUAAGCGGAAGAAAAGAAAAUAACAAUGAUUCCUUUAGUAACGGCGAGUGAACAAGGAAAAGCUCAAAAGGAAAAUCCGCUUUGUGGUGAAAACUACAGUGUGGAAUUGUCUGGUUGGGGUUUAGUCCUCUCUAUGUUUUUGUUGGGAGCGAAAUGAGUAGGAAUACUAUUCCUUAGAGGGUGAAAGGCCCGUAGUUCCCUACAAUUAUAGAUGGACUAUUCUCUGUAGAGUCGUGUUCUUUGAGAUUGGAGCACAAAUGUGUGUGAUACAUUUCACAUAAAGCUAAAUAUUUGUAGGAGACCGAUAGCAAACAAGUACCGUGAGGGAAAGAUGAAAUAGUACUCAGGAAUGAGGUUUAAAUAGUACCUGAAAUCGUUAAGAUGGAACGGAUUGAGAGAGAAAUAACGUAAGAUGGGAUUUAUUUCUAUGCUCCUACUGGAGCCAUGCUUUAACUCCUAUCUUAUUAAAAGGAGCAUCAGUGAAAUUUGGCAUUUGCAUUAUAAUUAAAGGGUUAUUUUUGCUUCGGCAACGAUAUCGCAUCUCCUUCCGCUAAUCUGGUUGGAGAAAUAAUUAUUAUUGCUUGCUAUAUUUACUGAGGUAAUCAAUUGGCAGGGCUUGCCCCGCUAAUUUAUGUUGCUUCUAAACAGUACUUUCUUAACCCACUCGUCUUGAAACACGGACCAAGGAGUCUAACAAAUGUGCGAGCGUAUAUAUGUUACGAACUAUAACAAAGAAUGAAAAUUCUUCUAUUUACGCGUAAUUAAUGUAAUUUUGGUAGAUUUUUAGGGGUCUUCCCCUAAUUUGCAUACCAUGCCGGUUGGCGAUUACGCUUAAUUGAGUAUGAGUAUAUUUGUUAGGACCCGAGAGGCUUUGAACUAAGCGUGAUGAGAUUGAAGUCAGACGAAAGUCUGAUGGAAGAUCGAAUUGAUACUGACGUGCAAAUCGUUCAUUUCAAUCACGUUUAGGGGCGAAAGACUAAUCGAAAGGCCUAUUAGCUGGUUAUUUUCGAAAGAUUUCUCAGGAUCGCUGGAGUUGAUUAAUAUAGUUUUACGAGGUAGAGAUAAUGAUUAGAGGAAUCAGGGAAAUCGUUUUCCUUGACCUAUUCUCAAACUCCCAAUACGUAAUAAGGGAUUAAUAACUUAAUUGUAUUUUUCCCACUAUAAAUAAAAUAACUCCAAGUGGGCCAUUUUUGGUAAGCAGAACUGGCGAUGAGGGAUGCUCCUAACGCUUGGAUAAGGUGCCUAAAUAUUCGCUCAUGAGAUCCCAUAAAAGGUGUUGGUUCAUAAUGACAGUAGGACGGUGGUCAUGGAAGUCGAAAUCCGCUAAGGAGUGUGUAACAACUCACCUACCGAAUGAACUAGCCCUGAAAAUGGAUGGCGCUAAAGCGGAUUACCGAUACCAAGCCAUAGAAAGAGAUUUAAGGGUUAUUUGGGUUCCCCCGACUAAUCUUUUUUUGAAUCUUUCUAUGAGUAGAAAAUCGUGGGGUUUGUGUAGAAGCAAGAUGCGUGAGCUCUUGUGGAACAUAUCCCUAGUGCAGAUCUUGGUGGAAGUAGCAAUUAUUCAAAUGAGAACUUUGAAGACUGAAGUGGAGAAGGGUUUCUUGUCAACUGUGAUUGUACAAGAGUUAGCCGCUCCUAAGGGAAAGCUGAAAUGCGUUUAAAUGGGGUUCUGAUGCCGCGGGCAACCGCGACCACUCUCCCCGUCCCGAAAGGGAAACAGGUUGAUAUUCCUGUGCCGAUAGUAAUUUGGGUAUUUGAGAUGGUAACAUAUAUAUAAAUGAACUCCUUUACGUAGGUCUUACACUCGGGGUGCGUUUUCUUUGCACUUUAACUUUAUAGCCGACCUCGGAAUCAAUUUAGUUGGAGAAGAGGUUUGCUGAAUUCAAUUCGGGGUAAUCUGCUAUGAGCGGAGCAAUCUACUCUUGCAUGAUUCCCCGUUUUGAGUAAUAGUAAUUCAUUUUUAUGGAUUAUCCGAAGCCGUAAGGACUACCCUUGAAAAAAGGAGGGAACAGCAAGAAAUGGGUUUACUCAUUCCUUGUCGCCCUGAUUUACUUGUAUGAGCGUACCAACAACCGCAUCAGGUCUCCUAGGUUAACAGCCUCUGGUUAAAUAGAAAAAAGUAAGUAAGGGAAGUCGGCAAAAUAGAUCCGUAACUUCGGGAAAAGGAUUGGCUCUGAGGACAUAUGAGUAGAGCAGUUUAAAUUAACGUUUGAAAAAUGAUUUAAAGAAAGCACCUUGGUUCGCCAUCGUGUUUUUAUUUUAUUUCGUUUAUCUCAUGUUUAUUUUAUUCUAUCCCUCUACUCGCCGCUAUUUAAGCGUCACUUCGGUGGCGUUUUUAUGGCAUUAUCAUGUUAACUCAGAACUGAAACGGACAAGGGGAAUCCGACUGUUUAAUUAAAACAUAGCAUUGUGAAAGCCACAAAUGGUAUUAACACAAUGUGAUUUCUGCCCAGUGCUUUGAAUGUCAACUUGAUGAAAUUCAAUCAAGCGCAGGUAAACGGCGGGAGUAACUAUGACUCUCUUAAGGUAGCCAAAUGCCUCGUCAUCUAAUUAGUGACGCGCAUGAAUGGAUUAACGAGAUUCCCACUGUCCCUACUUGCUAUCUAGCGAAACCACAGCCAAGGGAACGGGCUUGGCCAAAUCAGCGGGGAAAGAAGACCCUGUUGAGCUUUACUCUAGUCUGGCUUUGUGAAACGACUUAAGAGGUGUAGCAUAAGUGGGAGCAGAGAUUGAAAUAUAUUUUUGCGACAGUGAAAUACCACUACUUUUAAAGUUGUUUUACUUAUCUAUUUAUAGGGAAAUAUAUUUACGUUUGCCAGCUUGCUGGUCGUGCGUAUCUGAUAUUAUUUGAGUUUGAUGAGAUCCGCAAGGAUCCCAUUUCUCUCCCGCUUCUAUGGAGACAUAGCCAGGUGGGGAGUUUGACUGGGGCGGUACAUCUGUUAAACAAUAACGCAGAUGUCCAAAGACAAGC
Molecule: ribosomal RNA, 3019 nt
Filed under: Plasmodium yoelii killicki
Lineage: Eukaryota; Apicomplexa; Aconoidasida; Haemosporida; Plasmodiidae
Description: eukaryotic LSU rRNA
Rfam family: Eukaryotic large subunit ribosomal RNA
Source: RNAcentral